Molecule: ribosomal RNA, 253 nt
Filed under: uncultured bacterium
Lineage: Bacteria
Description: partial 16S ribosomal RNA
Rfam family: Bacterial small subunit ribosomal RNA
Source: RNAcentral
UACGAAGGGUGCUAGCGUUGUUCGGAAUUACUGGGCGUAAAGAGCGCGUAGGCGGCUAUACAAGUCAGGGGUGAAAUCCCGGAGCUUAACUCCGGAACUGCCUUUGAAACUGUAUAGCUGGAGUGUGUGAGGGGAUAGCGGAAUUCCUAAUGUAGAGGUGAAAUUCGUAGAUAUUAGGAGGAACACCGGUGGCGAAGGCGGCUAUCUGGCACACAACUGACGCUGAGGCGCGAAAGCGUGGGGAUCAAACAGG